This 1586-nucleotide ribosomal RNA is filed under the name Candidatus Parcubacteria bacterium. RNAcentral's name for it is "partial 23S ribosomal RNA". It matches the Rfam family "Bacterial large subunit ribosomal RNA", at positions 20 to 1683 of the family's 2925-position model. The record is from RNAcentral. Lineage: Bacteria; Candidatus Parcubacteria.
GAUGGUGGAUGCCUCGGGAGUUGGGAAAAUGGAGGGCGUGGCGUAGCUGCGAUAAGCUGGGGGGAGGUGCGUAGCAACCUGUGAUCCCCAGAUUCCCUCUUAACCCGGGGAAGUGAAACAUCUCAGUACCCGGAGGAAAAGAGACCAAAAGGCAUUCCCUGAGUAGCGGCGAGCGAAAAGGGAGGAGCCCAAACCAGAGAGAUUUUUCUCUCUGGGGUUGUGGGAGUAGGGUGGAGGAGAAAAUCCUCAGGGAGUUACAAAUUCUCUCUCUAGCCGAAGGACCCUGGAACGGGCCGCCAUAGAGGGUGAAAGCCCCGUAGGCGAAAGGGAGAGAACUCCCGGACCCUACAUCCCGAGUACCUCGAGGCCAAGAUAACCUUGAGGGAAGCAGGGAGGACUAAUCUCCCAAGGCUAAAUAUCCCAACUCACCGAUAGUGAACUAGUACCGCGAGGGAACGGUGAAAAGAACCCCGGUGAGGGGAGUGAAACAGAACCUGAAACCAUCCACUUACAAAGAGUCGGAGGGGAGAGAGAAUUAUUUUUCUCUCCCUGACGGCGUACCUAUUGGAGCAGGAUCCUACGAGUUUUCGUCUCUCCCAAGUCUAAGGGCUUCUGGCCCGGAGGCAAAGUGAAAGCGAGCGUGAAUGAGCGCGCGAGGGAGGGGCGAAAGACCCGAAGCCAGUCGAUCUAUCCCUGGGCAGGGUGAAGGCGGUGGAAAACACCGCUGGAGGCCCGAACCGGUGGGUGGUGCAAAACCCUCGGACGACCUGGGGAUAGGGGUGAAAGGCCUAUCUAGGCUGGGAAUAGCUGGUUCUCCCCGAAAUAGCUUUAGGGCUAGCCUCAGGCGUUUCCUUGGUACGGUAGAGCACUGGAAGAGAUAGCUUACCUUUUGGUGGCUAUCUCUACCAAACUCCGAAUGUACCAAGGUAAAAGCCUGGGAGUCAGAGGGUGGGGGAGAAGCUCCAUCCUCGCGAGGGGAACAACCCAGACCCCAAGCUAAGGCCCCGAAAUCCGGGCUAAGUGCUAAAUAAAGGAAGUGGGAUUCCUUAGACAACCGGGAGGUGAGCUUAGAAGCAGCUAUCCUUUAAAAAGUGCGUAACAGCUUACCGGUCGAGGAAUCCUGCGCCGAAGAUUCAUAGGGGCUUAAGCCCGGUGCCGAAGCUGGGGAUAGCUAGCAAAAUUUUUGCUAGCUAUGGUAGGGGAGCGUUCCCACUGGGCUGAAGGCAGACAGUGAUGUCUGCUGGACUGGUGGGAAGUGAGAAUGUAGGAAUGAGUAACCGCAACCUGGGUGAAAGCCCCAGGGGCCGAAAGCCCAAGGUUUCCGUGGCAACGGUGAUCGACCACGGGUUAGGCGGUCCUAAGGCUAAGCCUAAGAGGCGAUGCCGAAGGGCAGUGGGUUAAUAUUCCCACCCUACCUAGGAGUUCUGAAGGGUGACGAAGAGGAGUAGUCGGGAGGGAUAAUUGGCUUUCCCUCAGCCCGAGUUUUCGGGGGUUCUCGAUGAAUCCUCUUCCUAGAAAAGCCCGUAGGGUUAACUCCUAGGUAACCGUACCGCAAACCGACACAGGUGGGCUGGUAGAGUAUACCA